This 575-nucleotide long non-coding RNA is filed under the name Homo sapiens (human). Its description in RNAcentral is "AGBL4 antisense RNA 1 (AGBL4-AS1)". Lineage: Eukaryota; Metazoa; Chordata; Mammalia; Primates; Hominidae. The record is from RNAcentral.
AGUUUGCUCUCAGACUGCUGUGCUAGCAAUCAGCGAGACUCCGUGAGCAUAGGACUCUCCUAGCCAGAUACUGCAGUCUGACAGAGAUGGUAAAAAAAAAAUGGCUUGCAGAUUGCACAUUAGAAGAUUCCUCUCCCUCACUGAAAACUUGUGAGAAGGCAGCCAAAAGAGGUUCUCCUUCCUGCGUGAUGGGAAAGUCAAGGAUAAUAAAUAGAAAACCAGCCGAGUGGAUGGCUUCAAUACUAGGCCAACCUAUAAUGCACCCCAUGAAUGAAUUUCCACCUAUACUCACUUCAUGUUUCCCCUGCACAGAAGUGCUACGGAGUUAAUAGGACAGAUGAAAUAACAGCAUUUGAUCAAAUCUAGGGUAGGGUGACAGUGGAUGAGACUACAUUGACUAAAGCCCAAUGAUUCCAACUGAAUCCAUCUUAGACCAACAUAUAGACGGUUGACUUCCAAAUAUAUGAGAGCACCCAGACAAGAUCAGCAGAUUAAUCUACAGUUGAUCACUAAUACAGAAAAACCAUCCGGUUGGCCCAUGGACUUAACGAGCAUUAAUAAAUGUUUCCUGUCUU